CCCGGAUGUUCCUGUGAGCGCGCGCUUCCUUCCUUCCCCGGUGCUGUGUGUAACAUCACUAAAGUAACCGCGCCCUAUUUAAGGAGGCAGAGGGAGAGCAGAGGGGAGAGCUCAUCCCGGGACUAGAACACAGCGUGCGUGUGUGUGUGUUUCUUUCUUUCUCUCAAGAAUAAAAGUAGGCUGUUAAACUGAAAAGUCUGACAAUAAAAAGCCUAUUAGUACCAGAA
Neoarius graeffei (lesser salmon catfish) is the source of this 227-nucleotide long non-coding RNA. RefSeq lists it as uncharacterized. Lineage: Eukaryota; Metazoa; Chordata; Actinopteri; Siluriformes; Ariidae. The record is from RefSeq and is a predicted model, not a curated record. The transcript has 2 exons.